RNA transcript from Zea mays, 2873 nucleotides. RefSeq lists it as uncharacterized. The transcript has 8 exons. NCBI's taxonomy places the organism in Eukaryota, Viridiplantae, Streptophyta, Magnoliopsida, Poales, Poaceae. The record is from RefSeq and is marked validated.
GAAAAUGAAAAACCCGCGGCGAGUGGUGUCGUACUGUCGUCUCCCCGUUCGAGGGGAUCAGGGGAAUUGGACGGGCUUGCUUCGACUCCACCUCGCCUCCGUCGGCGUCUCAUCUCAUGCUGGGACUCUGGUGGGGUGGGGAUUGACUUCGCUAUAGCCCAAUCCAGUCAGCAGCAGCUUCCCGCCGCCCCAUGCCUCGUCGCGGCCGGUGGCGAUGGGCGACGUCCCAGUCCCUUCUCCAGCUCCCCCUGUUUCCGGCAUCGAUAUGACCCCACGCCGCCGCCGUGAGCCCUCCGAGCCCCGCAGCGACAGCGACUGGGACGCUGGAUCCAGUCGCGAGGGCUCCCCGGACCUCCUCCGCCGCGCGCCCGCCGUCCAGAUCUCGCGCGCCUCCUCUUCCUCGUCCUCCUGGCUCCGCGAGAUCGAGCGCGACCGUGUGCGCCUCGUCAGGGAGUGGGUCCACAUGGCUGCCCGCGACCGUGACGACGACACCGGACCCCCACCGUCCCCCGUCCAUGAACACGCUCGCAGGGACGCCCCCAGGAUCCGCGGCCGCCAAGCGCGCCUCGAGCUCGUCAUGCGCAUGGCCGCCGACCGCCAAGCCGAGCUCCACCGCCUCUCGCAGCACCGCGCCGUCUCUGACUUUCCGCAUCGCAACAGAAUCCAUGCGCUGCUCCGGGGUCGGUUUCUGCGCAACAGCGGUUUACCAGAGGAGAGGAGGCCCCCAUCUGUGGCCGCAAGGGAGCUUGGCCAGCUGCGGCAAAGGCAUCCUGUCUCUGGUUUGAGAGAAGAGUUCCGCUUCAGAUUGGAGAAUCUUGUCCGUGGUCAAGCAGAUAGCCAAGUGGAUGCUUCUUCAGUUCACGAUGUUGAGUUAUCUACAAAUGAUCGUUCUGAAUUAAGGCCUCCUGAAACUACUCAGGAGAGACAUGAGCGGACAAGUGAGAUUGUCAGUCUUCAACAAAUCGACAGUACGGCAAUGACAUCAGGAUUUGAAAGUGGCAGCCCUAACAUUGCUGAAGUCUUCUGCGGGUCUCAUAGCCAAGCAGAAAGUCAGGAUGAUUUGGAACAUGAGAGAAGAGACUGGCAACGAUUUUCCCAUGCUGUGAUUGGAGAGGAAUCUGAAAGAACUUGGCGUGAAAAUGCAGACAACAUGUCAUCUCAUGAGGGGACAGCAGUUGAAGAUGAUAAUAACGAUCAUCUUCCAGAAGCAAAUGAAGAGUCAACCAGUGUUGAUCACCUUCCUGAAGGACUUGAAGGGUCUAUCACUGAUGGUAGUCUUCCUGAAGCGCAAGAAGAUCAGCAUGACAGUGAUCAUCUUCCUGCAGUGCUUGAAGAGCUGCAUGGAAAUAAUCACUUUCAGGAAUCACAUGGGGAAUGGAGAAGAGAUGAUCGUCCUGUUGAAGUCUAUGAUGAGUGGCAGAGUGAUGAUCAUCUCCCUGAAGUAAAUGAAGAGUGGCAUAAUGAUGAUGAGUCUAAUGAUACUGCAGACAAUUGGCAUGAUAAUAAUUCUGACCAACCAAUUGAUCAUGAUGCUGCUCUUAUUAGAAGAGCUAAUACUUUCAUCCCUGGAGAUGAUGAUAAUGUGUACAGCACAGAAUUGAGGGAACUUCUAAGCAGAAGGAGCGUUUCUAAUCUUCUUCACAGUGCUUUUCGUGAAAACUUGGAUCGACUUAUCCGGUCAUAUGUGGAACGGCAAGGUCGUGGUCCUCUCCCUUGGGAUCUGGAAGGAACAACCCCUGCCCCUCCAUCACCAGUUCAAAUUCAGGAGGAGCAAAGAGAUGAUGAGGACCAGGAACUGCAGCGCACUGUCAACAGGCCUCCUUUAGUGAUACCACCCCCACCUAUGCCUCCUCGUCAGCCACUUUGGCAUUCAGAGUUGCAUCGUACUAAUUGGAUCAGACAAAACAUUCAUCGUUCAUCUUCUGAUAUUGCUGUGUUUAUAGUAGGCUAAUGCACUCAACUCUUCGAUUUAUAGAAUGGGAGGCUAUCAAUGAUUUAAGAGCUGAUAUGGCUAGACUUCAGCAAGGCAUGAGCCAUAUGCAAAGGAUGUUGGAAGCUUGCAUGGAUAUGCAGCUAGAGUUGCAGCGUUCUGUAAGGCAAGAAGUAUCAGCAGCCUUGAAUCGUUUCAUUGGGGAGCAAGGUGGUGAAAGUAAAGAAAUAAUCGAUGAUGGAUCGAAAUGGAUAAAUGUGAGAAAAGGGACCUGCUGCAUAUGCUGUGAGACUCCGAUUGACUCCCUUCUGUACAGAUGUGGGCACAUGUGCACUUGCUCGAAAUGCGCAAACGAAUUGGUUCGAGGUGGAGGGAAAUGCCCGUUGUGCCGCGCACCCAUAAUCGAGGUCAUCCGAGCAUACUUCAUCAUGUAGAUACAAAAGGAAGACAGCAAGAAGAUAGAAGAGGCCCAAAUUGUUUUUGGUCUGUGUGGAGUCGUUAGCGGGUUGUGUAUUCAAUUUUGUUCAUUCUCUCUAAUGCGUUUGGUUAAGUUUUUUUCCGGCUUCAUUUCGUUUUGGUCUGCUUGCCCUAUUGUAAGUAAUGUACGGUUUUGGGUGUGGCGGCAGGACGGGAAGGUGGUCUUCUCUCAUUAGGACUUGGGUCACUGCUAAUUAUGUUCCACAACGACUAAUGGGGUUGGAGGUUGUCGAAACACGAGAUGAGGAAACUUUUGGUAUCUUUUUGUUCGUGUAGCACCAGCAAAGUGCGGCUUGGUCGCUUCAGUGUUUCGUGUGAUUUUGUUGUUGGUCUUGGCUAUGUGGUCAUGAUAUUUUAGGCUUCUAGUUUGCAGAUGGAUGUAAAAGUGGUACUUUGUUGUCAUGGGCGAUGCUAUUUCCUGGAUGUUUGCUUUUUCUUUCCACAAUAGUAAAACAGAUCAUUUUUA